This 243-nucleotide unclassified non-coding RNA is filed under the name Ijuhya sp. RNAcentral's name for it is "partial contains 5.8S ribosomal RNA, internal transcribed spacer 2, and large subunit ribosomal RNA". Lineage: Eukaryota; Fungi; Ascomycota; Sordariomycetes; Hypocreales; Bionectriaceae. The record is from RNAcentral.
CGCACAUUGCGCCCGCCAGUAUUCUGGCGGGCAUGCCUGUCCGAGCGUCAUUUCAACCCUCGAGAAUCCAUUCUCGGUGUUGGAGAUCGACCCCGCGUCGUCUCCCAAAUACAGUGGCGGCACGGCUGAGAUCCUCUGCGCAGUACUUCAUCUCGCAGCUGGAGGGAAGCCGGCGCCUGCCGUGAAACCCCCAACUUUCACAAGGUUGACCUCGGAUCAGGUAGGAAUACCCGCUGAACUUAA